This 636-nucleotide long non-coding RNA is filed under the name Anser cygnoides (Swan goose). Its description in RNAcentral is "lncRNA (ENSACDG00005013797.1)". Lineage: Eukaryota; Metazoa; Chordata; Aves; Anseriformes; Anatidae. The record is from RNAcentral.
GCUUUUUUCCCUCUGCAUCCUUCAGAAAUCCUCCUUGCAGAGCAGGUCCUCUAACAGGCCCUUUUCCUGACGAAGCGUUAACAGUUUUCCUCGGCUGUGCACCAGUAACAAUUGUUUUCAGACUCUGCUGUGGGAGAUGAGAGUGGCUGACAUUCACCGCUGGCCACAGGUCAUUUUCCUAGUGCAGACCCAUCUUUGGGGACCAUUUAACGCCGUGUUUCAGGUUUCAGCCUUCAAGCUCUUCAUCUAUCUCCUACCCCAGUGACCGGAUUGCCUCCAUGCAGCGGGAGCUCAAAGCGCUCCACAUAAAAGAAGCGGUCAGGCUCAGCUAGGCUGCGAGCAGGAGCCGCCCGGCCGCUUCCCCCUUCCCCGGCCGGCCGGGACUCCCCGCGGCAGCGCCGCGCCCGCCCGCUCGCUCCCCACCGGGGCAGAGCACUCCCCGGAGCCCGCCCCGAGGUGCCAACAGCAGCCGCCGGGAUUUUUGUCUGUCUUGUUUGUGUGUGUUUUUUUUUUUUUCCUUUUUUUUUUUUUUUUUUUUUUUCCCCUCGCUUUCUUUUGGUUUUGUAGUCUCGCUGGGAAUGGCAGGGGCAGGGGCGCCUGGAGAAGGAACAAGUGGGGGGAAAGGGGGGGGGAGCC